AUUGAACGCCGGCGGCAUGCCUUACACAUGCAAGUCGAACGGCAGCACGGGAGCAAUCCUGGUGGCGAGUGGCGAACGGGUGAGUAAAGUAUCGGAACGUGCCCAGUCGUGGGGGAUAACGUCGCGAAAGUUACGCUAAUACCGCAUACGAUCUAUGGAUGAAAGCGGGGGAUCGCAAGACAUCGCGCGAUUGGAGCGGCCGAUAUCAGAUUAGGUAGGUGGUGGGGUAAAGGCUCACCAAGCCGACGAUCUGUAGCUGGUCUGAGAGGACGACCAGCCACACUGGGACUGAGACACGGCCCAGACUCCUACGGGAGGCAGCAGUGGGGAAUUUUGGACAAUGAGCGAAAGCCUGAUCCAGCCAUGCCGCGUGCAGGAUGAAGGCCUUCGGGUUGUAAACUGCUUUUGUACGGAACGAAAAGGUUUGGCCUAAUAAGCUGAGCUCAUGACGGUACCGUAAGAAUAAGCACCGGCUAACUACGUGCCAGCCGCCGCAGUAA
This 500-nucleotide ribosomal RNA is filed under the name uncultured bacterium. Its description in RNAcentral is "partial 16S ribosomal RNA". It matches the Rfam family "Bacterial small subunit ribosomal RNA", at positions 30 to 523 of the family's 1533-position model. The record is from RNAcentral.